This is a long non-coding RNA of Papaver somniferum (opium poppy), 1824 nucleotides long. RefSeq lists it as uncharacterized. NCBI's taxonomy places the organism in Eukaryota, Viridiplantae, Streptophyta, Magnoliopsida, Ranunculales, Papaveraceae. The transcript is spliced from 2 exons. The record is from RefSeq and is a predicted model, not a curated record.
AGGAGAAAAUAGGUACUCCCUGUUAUAUCUAUGCAAAAUCGUUUUUUCCUCUACCAUUAUCACCGAAACACCUUCACCACCAUUACAGACCAGGCCUCCUUCAGCUUCAUCUUCUCCCACACAAACCACCACCAUCAACACUAUCGCCACCAUAAUCCCCAACACCACUUCCUUACUCUCUUCUUCGUCGAAUUGUUGUUGUUCCCCUCAAUUUUUUAUAUCCAAUUUAGUGCCCUAACCUAAUCGUAAAAACUUUUCUCAACUCUCCAUGUGAUUUUCCUUCACCAUUGAUUUUCUCUAACUCGAUAUUAUUCUUCAAUUGCAUGCCCCAAAUUGAUGUGUCCAUCUAUUUAUCUUUCUUUAUCCUUCACCGCCACCGUUACCCACCACCACUAAUAACAAGCAACUCUUUUACGUACAACAGGCAUGGAAGUGAAAUUGAAAAUUAGUAUGCAUUAAAAUUGGAUUUGUCAAAACUGGUCUUGCUACUAACUUCGAUUUCAAUUCAUACUAAUUUCGUUUUCGUAUAGCAUAUACAGCUUCGUAUCUCUAUCAAAUUUUAUGUUCCUCACCAUCUCCUUCAAAGAUAUUGGGUUAUAGAUAACCAGACGUAUGUGGUUGGUGAAGAUGUGAUGGGUGUUAUAGCAUCUCUACCAAGUCUGCACUAAAUGAAGUGAACCAACAGUCACCGGUGCAUGAUGCGUGACUCUCCAGUACCGCAAGUUUGACAAAAUUGUAGGCUCCAUGUAAACCCUAUUGGAUUGUUUAUAUUAAUUGGAUUUUUCUGGUUUCUGACUCAGUUUUGUUCUCACAAGGCAUGAUACUAGCCGCAGAUGUUAUAAAAAUGAAGGGGAAGGGUGCACUUGGUAGGAAAGUCAUUAAUUUUCAUUCAGGAAUUUAGUCGCUAAACACCUCUAUCCCGUUACACAUUUAAGUGCAUUUCUUCUUUUAUAAAAUCCCAAAGUAACUUUAUAGGUCUUUCCUUAUGAAUUGUUCUUUUUUUUUCAAGAAUCUUAGUUGACAAAAGAAUGCUUCGAAGAGCCACACUUUUGACAAUUUAGUUCGUAGAUUUAUACUUAAUACUUAAAGAUUAUAAAAAUGUUAUUCUUUUGACAAAAGAAUCCACCAGUAUAUGUUAAAAUUCUCUUAGUCUUGGACUUAAGGUACAAAGCAUCUGUAUUGGCUGUUUGUGGUUAUUAAUUACGAACCAAUAGUUUGCAUUGGUUCUUUACGUGUGUUUGUUAACUAUGUGCCAGAUGAUGAUUGAUGAAAUUUAUUUAUCUUGCACCUUUAAUUGUUCCAAUAGUUCUGCUGUCAUGGACAAAGAUGCUAAUUAUGUCAGUAAUGUUUAUGUUUACUCUCUUACAAGUUGUGUACUUUUAUAUGUGAAUACCUCUCUUUCAGUUUAUACUAGAUAUGAACCGCAAAGGAAUGAUCCUGAGAGAGUGUGGAAUGCCCAGGAAGCCUGAUUUUGCAUGAAGCUCUGUGGCGCAAAGGCAUGGUCCAAAGAUAUAGUGGAAUGCCCAGGAAACCUGAUAUUUUUUUAAUGAAGCUCUGUGGAGCUACCAUACACCUAAUCGCGUCCAUGAGGUUCUUGCUUCGCCAAGCCAUCAUCUACAUGUAUUCUUAUUCUUAACUUGGCAGUCGUGAUUUGCCAAUGCAUAUGUUUUAAGCCUUUAGUGCAAUAAUUAUGCACUAAAAAUGUAGCUGACAAGUAGAAAAUGAGUUGUCCUACUCUUAAGUCUUAAGAAGUUAUGCCACCAUCUACAGGUCGAAAAAUUAGUAUGGGUGAUUAUUGAAUUGCUAUUAAAGAAGUUGUUGCGA